GGCGUCAGGAUGAACGCUAGCUACAGGCUUAACACAUGCAAGUCAGGGGCGAUCAGGCGAAAGCUGCUUCUUGCUGGCGACGGCGCACGGGUGAGUAACGCGUAUCCAACUUCCCCCCAGUAGGGCAUAGCCCGGCGAAAGUCGGAUUAAUACCCUAUGUUGUGUCAUGAGGACAUCUGAAUAACACCAAAGAUUUAUCGCUGGGGGAUGGGGAUGCGUCCGAUUAGGUUGUUGGCGGGUAACGGCCACCAAGCCCGCGAUCGGUAGGGGUUCUGAGAGGAAGGUCCCCCACACUGGUACUGAGACACGGACCAGACUCCUACGGGAGGCAGCAGUGAGGAAUAUUGGUCAAUGGACGAGAGUCUGAACCAGCCAAGUAGCCGUGCAGGACGACGGCCCUAUGGGUUGUAAACUGCUUUUAUGCGGGGAUAAAGUGAGGUAUGUAUACCUUUUUGUAGGUACCGCAUGAAUAAGGACCGGCUAAUUCCGUGCCAGCCGCAGC
This 502-nucleotide ribosomal RNA is filed under the name uncultured bacterium. Its description in RNAcentral is "bacterial SSU rRNA". It matches the Rfam family "Bacterial small subunit ribosomal RNA", at positions 20 to 518 of the family's 1533-position model. The record is from RNAcentral.